AUUUACCACCUCUUUUGCAGGGUGUCUUUACUCUCCGGUGGCGAAUAUAAGAGUGGCUACUGCUCUUGCAGUGGGUCUGUUCUUUGGUGGGAGGGGGGAAUUGACCGGAUUUGUGGACCAUUCCGAUAUUUUUUUUUUUCUAUCUUGUUUCCCUUUUUCCAUGCCCUGGAAUGUUUCCCUGUAUUCCACGCUGCAGUGCCAGCAGUUCCCUGAGCAGAUAGUCUGGCUGUCUAAACAAACGCGCCUUUGACAGUGUUGUGCUCUGAACACAGGAUGUGCGGUAUUUCAUAGGAGUCCAUCCAUAGAACCCCCUGUACCGCAGGCACUGCCUUCCUGGUAUGGCGUGGGCUCUGGAUGCUCUUGGUGUGACUCCAGGUGGGACCUGAUGAUCACCAGUUCACUCCGCGGUGGUAGAUGUUACAUGAGACAGAUGUAGCCGCGUUGCUAGCUAGCAGUGGUUCUCGGCUGCCUCGUAGAGAAGCAGCCAUCCCAGCACUCAGGAUUUCGUUUUCGAUUUGCCACUGAGCCACGCGGAGCUAAAGGCCUCCAGCGACCUUCUGGGAGGAGAAAAGGAAAGACGCCCGG
Pelodiscus sinensis (Chinese soft-shelled turtle) is the source of this 585-nucleotide non-coding RNA. NCBI's taxonomy places the organism in Eukaryota, Metazoa, Chordata, Testudines, Trionychidae. The record is from RefSeq and is a predicted model, not a curated record.